CACUGGAGGCAGCGGUUCAUCGAUCUGUUCCUGAAACUGUUAAUCUUCACAUUCAUUGCAGCAAUCGAUCGAUAAACCUCUGCAUCCAGG
Molecule: non-coding RNA, 90 nt
Organism: Beta vulgaris subsp. vulgaris (sugar beet)
Lineage: Eukaryota; Viridiplantae; Streptophyta; Magnoliopsida; Caryophyllales; Amaranthaceae
Source: Rfam